GCUUCACUCUCAUCUUCAUUUCUCUCAACAACACUUUCUCCAAAUUAUUCUCAAAAUCAUCAUUUAUUUCUUCCAAAUAAUCCCAAUUUGAAAAUUACCAAAAGGACCUCCUUCAACAUUCAGGCUGCAAAGGUUCCACCUGGGGUGGAGUUGCCAAAAGAAGUACCAAAGUUGAGCAAACCCCUUUUGGGUUUUACUAAUACUGCUGAGAUAUGGAACUCUAGAGCUUGUAUGAUUGGUCUUAUUGGUACAUUUAUUGUGGAAUUGAUUUUCAACAAGGGAAUUCUUGAAAUGAUUGGUGUAGAAAUUGGAAAAGGCCUUGAUAUUCCUCUCUAAAUGUUGUGAAUCUUUAAAUU
RNAcentral lists this unclassified non-coding RNA (356 nucleotides) under Hevea brasiliensis (rubber tree). The record is from RNAcentral. Lineage: Eukaryota; Viridiplantae; Streptophyta; Magnoliopsida; Malpighiales; Euphorbiaceae.